GGCAGGGUAGCUCAGUUGGUUAGAGCGCUUCAAUCAUAACGAAGAGGUCGUGGGUUCGAUCCCCACCCCUGCUA
This 74-nucleotide transfer RNA is filed under the name Patescibacteria group bacterium. RNAcentral's name for it is "tRNA-Met". It matches the Rfam family "tRNA". Rfam says of the family: Transfer RNA (tRNA) molecules are approximately 80 nucleotides in length. Their secondary structure includes four short double-helical elements and three loops (D, anti-codon, and T loops). Further hydrogen bonds mediate the characteristic L-shaped molecular structure. tRNAs have two regions of fundamental functional importance: the anti-codon, which is responsible for specific mRNA codon recognition, and the 3' end, to which the tRNAs corresponding amino acid is attached (by aminoacyl-tRNA synthetases). tRNAs cope with the degeneracy of the genetic code in two manners: having more than one tRNA (with a specific anti-codon) for a particular amino acid; and 'wobble' base-pairing, i.e. permitting non-standard base-pairing at the 3rd anti-codon position. The record is from RNAcentral.